AUUGAACGCUGGCGGCAUGCCUUACACAUGCAAGUCGAACGGUAACAGGUCUUCGGAUGCUGACGAGUGGCGAACGGGUGAGUAAUACAUCGGAACGUGCCCGAUCGUGGGGGAUAACGAAGCGAAAGCUUUGCUAAUACCGCAUAAGAUCUACGGAUGAAAGCAGGGGACCGCAAGGCCUUGCGCGAACGGAGCGGCCGAUGGCAGAUUAGGUAGUUGGUGGGAUAAAAGCUUACCAAGCCGACGAUCUGUAGCUGGUCUGAGAGGACGAACAGCAACACUGGGACUGAGACACGGCCCAGACUCCUACGGGAGGCAGCAGUGGGUAAUUUUGGACAAUGGGCGAAAGCCUGAUCCAGCAAUGCCGCGUGCAGGAUGAAGGCCUUCGGGUUGUAAACUGCUUUUGUACGGAACGAAAAGCUUCGGGCUAAUACCCUGGAGUCAUGACGGUACCGUAAGAAUAAGCACCGGCUAACUACGUGCCAGCCGCCGCCGUAA
This 498-nucleotide ribosomal RNA is filed under the name uncultured bacterium. RNAcentral's name for it is "partial 16S ribosomal RNA". It matches the Rfam family "Bacterial small subunit ribosomal RNA", at positions 30 to 523 of the family's 1533-position model. The record is from RNAcentral.